This is a long non-coding RNA of Bactrocera dorsalis (oriental fruit fly), 2431 nucleotides long. RefSeq lists it as uncharacterized. The transcript is spliced from 5 exons. The record is from RefSeq and is a predicted model, not a curated record. NCBI's taxonomy places the organism in Eukaryota, Metazoa, Arthropoda, Insecta, Diptera, Tephritidae.
UUCAAUUAUCGCUAAAAAAAGUCGAACACAAAAAAUUAAUAAAACAAAAAUUAAAGAUGAGGAAAAACUCAAUUAUCGCUAAAAAAAGUCGAACACAAAAAAUUAAUAAAAUAAAAAUUAAAAAUGAGGAAAAACUCAAUUAUCGCUAAAAAAAAGUCGAACACAAAAAAUUAAUAAAAUAAAAAUUAAAAAUGAGGAAAAACUCAAUUAUCACUAAAAAAAAUCGAACACAAAAAAUUAAUAUAAUGAAAAUUAAAAAUGAGAUAAAACUCGAAUAUCGCUAAAAAUAGUCGAACACAAAAAAUUAAUAAAAUAAAAAUUAAAAAUGAGGAAAAACUCAAUUAUCGCUAAAAAAAGUCGAACACAAAAAAUUAAUAAAAUAAAAAUUAAAAUGAGGAAAAACUUAAUUAUGACUUAAAAUAGUCGAACACAAAAAAUUAAUAAAAUAAAAAUUAAAAAUGAGGAAAAACUCAAUUAUCGCUAAAAAAAAGUCGAACACAAAAAAUUAAUAAAAUAAAAAUUAAAAAUGAGGAAAAACUCAAUUAUCGCUAAAAAAAGUCGAACACAAAAAAUUAAUAAAAUAAAAAUUAAAAUGAGGAAAAACUUAAUUAUGACUUAAAAUAGUCGAACACAAAAAAUUAAUAAAAUAAAAAUUAAAAAUGAGGAAAAACUCAAUUAUCGCUAAAAAAAAGUUGAACACAAAAAAUUAAUAAAAUAAAAAUUAAAAAUGAGGAAAAACUCAAUUAUCGCUAAAAAAAGUCGAACACAAAAAAUUAAUAAAAUAAAAAUUAAAAUGAAGAAAAACUUAAGUAUGACUUAAAAUAGUCGAACACAAAAAAUUAAUAAAAUAAAAAUUAAAAAUGAGGAAAAACUCAAUUAUGACUUAAAAUAGUCGAACACAAAAAAUUAAUAAAAUAAAAAUUAAAAAUGAGGAAAAACUCAAUUAUGACUUAAAAUAGUCGAACACAAAAAAUUAAUAAAAUAAAAAUUAAAAAUGAGGAAAAACUCAAUUAUCGAUAAAAAUAGUCAAACACAAAAAAUUAAUAAAAUAAAAAUUAAAAAUGAGGAAAAACUCAAUUAUGACUAAAAAUAGUCAAACACAAAAAAUUAAUAAAAUAAAAAUUAAAAAUGAGGAAAAACUCAAUUAUGACUAAAAAUAGUCGAACACAAAAAUUAAUAUAAUAAAAAUUAAAAAUGAGGAAAAACUCAAUUAUCGCUAAAAAAAAGUCGAACACAAAAAAUUAAUAAAAUAAAAAUUAAAAUGAAGAAAAACUUAAGUAUGACUUAAAAUAGUCGAACACAAAAAAUUAAUAAAAUAAAAAUUAAAAAUGAGGAAAAACUCAAUUAUCGCUAAAAAAAAGUCGAACACAAAAAAUUAAUAAAAUAAAAAUUAAAAAUGAGGAAAAACUCAAUUAUCGCUAAAAAAAAUCGAACACAAAAAAUUAAUAAAAUAAAAAUUAAAAAUGAGGAAAAACUCAAUUAUCGCUAAAAAAAGUCGAACACAAAAAAUUAAUAAAAUAAAAAUUAAAAUGAGGAAAAACUUAAUUAUGACUUAAAAUAGUCGAACACAAAAAAUUAAUAAAAUAAAAAUUAAAAAUGAGGAAAAACUCAAUUAUCGCUAAAAAUAGUCGAACACAAAAAAUUAAUAUAAUGAUCACUACACUAUUCAAAAAAACAAAAAAAAAAGAGGAAAAAAGAUCCUAUUCCUAUAUACCGUUUCCCAAACAAAAAAUGAAGGUAAAUAAAUAAUAACGUAAAAAAUUUAAAAUUUAUAAAUUAAAAAAUUUUAAAUUUUCGUACAUUAGAAAUAAAAUGUUUAUCAAAAAGAAAAUAAUGUGUUCGAAAUUAAAAUAUGUAAUAUAUUGAAAAUUAAAAUAAAAAUUUAAAACAUUGUAAAAAAUUUAAAAUUUAAAAAAUAUUGAAAAUUUAAAUACAAAAUUUAAAAAAUUAAAAGAUAAAAAUCAAACAGAAAACGAAGGUAAAUAAAUAAUAUUGUAAAAAAUUUAAAAUUUAUAAAUUAAAAAAAAAUUUAAAUUUUCGUACAUUAGAAAUAAAAUGUUUAUCAAAAAAAAUAAUGUAUUCGAAAUUAAAAUAUGUAAUAUAUUGAAAAUUAAAAUAAAAAUUUAAAACAUUGUAAAAAAUUUAAAAUUUAAAAAAUAUUGAAAAUUUAAAUACAAAAUUUAAAAAAUUAAAAGAUAAAAAUCAAACAGAAAAUGAAGGUAAAUAAAUAAUAAUGUAAAAAAUUUAAAAUUUAUAAAUUAAAAAAUUUUAAAUUUUCGUACAUUAGAAAUAAAAUGUUUAUCAAAAAGUAAAAAUUAAAAUAUUUAAAAAUGAGAUUGUAAAAAGAAAAAAUUACUGCAAACACUUAUGUUAUUAGCUGAGCCAAGGCCAAUAUUAUAAUUUAAGAAUCACUUGUAAGAACGAAAGUAAA